GAGGACGACGCUGGCGGCGUGCUUAACACAUGCAAGUCGAACGGUGACGAGGAGCUUGCUCCUCUGAUCAGUGGCGAACGGGUGAGUAACACGUGAGCAACCUGCCCCAGACUCUGGGAUAACAGUUGGAAACAGCUGCUAAUACCGGAUACGAGACGGAGAGGCAUCUCUACCGUCUGGAAAGUUUUUCGGUCUGGGGAUGGACUCGCGGCCUAUCAGCUAGUUGGUGAGGUAAUGGCUCACCAAGGCGACGACGGGUAGCCGGCCUGAGAGGGCGACCGGCCACACUGGGACUGAGACACGGCCCAGACUCCUACGGGAGGCAGCAGUGGGGAAUAUUGCACAAUGGGCGAAAGCCUGAUGCAGCGACGCCGCGUGAGGGAUGACGGCCUUCGGGUUGUAAACCUCUUUCAGCAGGGAAGAAGCGAAAGUGACGGUACCUGCAGAAGAAGCACCGGCUAACUACGUG
This 469-nucleotide ribosomal RNA is filed under the name uncultured bacterium. Its description in RNAcentral is "bacterial SSU rRNA". It matches the Rfam family "Bacterial small subunit ribosomal RNA", at positions 33 to 507 of the family's 1533-position model. The record is from RNAcentral.